Molecule: long non-coding RNA, 334 nt
Filed under: Fukomys damarensis (Damara mole-rat)
Lineage: Eukaryota; Metazoa; Chordata; Mammalia; Rodentia; Bathyergidae
Description: lncRNA (ENSFDAG00000028964.1)
Source: RNAcentral
GCCUCAGAGGAGAUGAGGCCACAGUGGCAGUCAAUGAGCAAAGUCAUCAAUAAUUUUAAGGGGAGGAAGACCUUGCCAUCGCACAGAGGUUCAAUGUGACACAUCCUCUGCCACUCCAUCUGUCUCUGCCCCCAUGCUGCUGUCUUCAUUGGCUCCUGCACGCGUCACUCACCUUACUUCAUCACCAGCACCCCAGAGAGGCAUCUCUUCUUGUCCUGAUUUUUGACAAAAAUAGCCAUCAAAGUGAAAAACUAGAAUGAAACUGUGCGCUCUCAUCAGCCCAGCUCUGGGACAUUUGGGGAGGGUGAGUAAAGACAGCAGAGGAACAACUGUA